UUAGCUGAGAGAUGAUUAGCCUGGUGAGAGAAGCUUGUCUAGAAACCCCUUGCCCCUGUCAGCCUUGCUGAGGGAAGGUAGACCUGAUGUGGAACUACAGUUGACAGCUACCUCAGACUUGCUGCUUGCUAGAGUCUCCCUGAAGGAAGGCAGGCCAGGUGUGAGACUAUUGUUUGCUAUCUGUGCCUUGCUUGUGGCUAGCUGUCUAGAAGGAGGGGGAAAAAUGCUUAUUCCUCUACAGAUGCUUUCAGAGUGUUUGUUUACUCUGACUGACAUCAGGAAAUGUCUCCUUGUGUUGUGAUGCCAAGGGAUGCACUGAAAUGAGAAGGGAUGAAAAAGGAUGCAGUUGUACAAAUCUUUUCUCAGGAGAAGCAAAAGUAGCACACACAUUAAAUAUAAAGAACAUUAGGGGUCCGACUGAAAUGUGUUAAGCAUCCACCUAUAGAAGGGCCCUAUGACUUCAGCUUUCAGAAGUUUCCCACCAUUCCAAGUGGUGGGGCUACCUUCAUCAAGUUAAAUGAACGUGGGUUUUUUAGCAGAUGGGAUGUGGGGGAGGAUUCAAGACUUCAGCAUGGAUGGCCUUGUCUUCAGUCCCUUUCACUACAGACUUCCAGGAUGUGUUCAUUGAUAGCUAAGUGAAGACUCUCUGUGGGAAGUAAUGACCGUUGCCUACUUCAAAGUUUGGCUUUUAUUUGCCCCCUCCCCAUGAUUCUACUUGUGAUAAACCCAUUAAGGAACCAUGUAUGAGGUUGAUCCAAAGUCCAUUGAUGUCUCUGGAAAGACUCUCCUAAUAUGAGCUGAUGCAAUUAAAGAUUGUAUUAGAAAGCAUGUACACAAAGGGACAAUUUAAAUGGUGCAUAUAGUCUUAACAUGGCACUUCCUUACUUUUGAUUGCUUCACUGUAUGCCAAUGU
Mauremys reevesii (Reeves's turtle) is the source of this 913-nucleotide long non-coding RNA. RefSeq lists it as uncharacterized. The transcript is spliced from 5 exons. NCBI's taxonomy places the organism in Eukaryota, Metazoa, Chordata, Testudines, Geoemydidae. The record is from RefSeq and is a predicted model, not a curated record.